RNAcentral lists this ribosomal RNA (529 nucleotides) under Bombus ussurensis. Its description in RNAcentral is "partial 16S ribosomal RNA". The stretch from base 377 to 529 matches the Rfam family "Bacterial large subunit ribosomal RNA", at positions 2473 to 2626 of the family's 2925-position model. The record is from RNAcentral. Lineage: Eukaryota; Metazoa; Arthropoda; Insecta; Hymenoptera; Apidae.
GGCCUAUUGAAUAUAAUUUUAGGUCGAUCUGCCCAAUGAUUUUAAAUUUAAUGGCUGCGGUAUUUUGACUGUACAAAGGUAGCAUAAUCAAUUGUUUUUUAAUUGAAAACUAGAAUGAAAGAAUUAAUGAGAUAUAUACUGUCUCAUAUAUAAUAAAUGAAUUUAAAUUUUUAGUAAAAAUGCUUAAAUUAUUUUAUGGGACGAUAAGACCCUAUAGAAUUUUAUAUUAAUAUAAAUAGUUAUUUUUAUAGGAUUUUUAUAUUAAUAUUUAAUUGGGAGGAUUAGUAAAUUUAAUAAACUUUAUUUUAAAUAUAAACUUUGAUUUAAGAAUUAUUUUUGAUCUUGUAUUAUGAAAAUAAGAAUAAAUUACCUUAGGGAUAACAGCGUAAUAUCUUUUUAAAGGUCAUAUUGAUAAAGAUGAUUGCGACCUCGAUGUUGAAUUAAGAUAAAUUUUGGAUGGAGAAGUUUAAAAAUUAAGUCUGUUCGACUUUUAAAAUCUUACAUGAUUUGAGUUCAAAUCGACGUGAGU